CCUACGGGGGGCAGCAGUGAGGAAUAUUGGUCAAUGGACGAGAGUCUGAACCAGCCAAGUAGCGUGAAGGAUGACUGCCCUAUGGGUUGUAAACUUCUUUUAUAUGGGAAUAAAAUGUUCCACGUGUGGGAUUUUGUAUGUACCAUAUGAAUAAGGAUCGGCUAACUCCGUGCCAGCAGCCGCGGUAAUACGGGGGAUCCGAGCGUUAUCCGGAUUUAUUGGGUUUAAAGGGAGCGUAGGUGGAUUGUUAAGUCAGUUGUGAAAGUUUGCGGCUCAACCGUAAAAUUGCAGUUGAAACUGGCAGUCUUGAGUACAGUAGAGGUGGGCGGAAUUCGUGGUGUAGCGGUGAAAUGCUUAGAUAUCACGAAGAACUCCGAUUGCGAAGGCAGUUCACUGGACUGCAACUGACACUGAGGCUCGAAAGUGUGGGUAUCAAACAGGAUUAGAUACCCGAGUAGUC
Molecule: ribosomal RNA, 460 nt
Filed under: uncultured bacterium
Lineage: Bacteria
Description: partial 16S ribosomal RNA
Rfam family: Bacterial small subunit ribosomal RNA
Source: RNAcentral